GGGCCGGGCGGGCAGCGCCCACAGGUGAACGCGUACAUGGGUACGCGUGUGUACAGAAAUAGUAACGCACAGCAACAGCAUCGCGGGCCCGGGCGAAAAAAUUGCUGUCUACUGAAAACAGCUUCUCCCCUCCCCGCCCCCCUGCCGUUGAUUGCCGCCUUCCUGUACCUGCAAAAAUAACACCCGUGCGAGGUGGCAUGAAUAAGAGACUGAUUGCACUUGCAGAGAAAAUUUGACUGAUAUAAAAUGAGGUAGUUCAAUGGAAAUCCACUGAAAUCCCACCAGUGAUGUCAGAUGGAUGUCUCAGAGUUCAGGAGAAGGCAUACGUUAUGAAGAAUCCUCUUUCUUCCCUGACAUGAAUGACAUUCAAUCUCCAGUCUGGUACCUCUUUCUGCCAGCCACUGCUCUUCACUCAUCUUUUUGUCCUGCAACAGUCGGCCUGUGAUCCUGAAGAGGAGCUUUGUCAGAGGGACUGUUACAUGGGAAGCAUGCUUGAGUGGUGUGUUUCUGUUUUUCGAAUAUAAAAAAACACAAUUGCAUUUCCCAGUUGGCAGUAGAGUUUGCCUUUGAUUUAACUAAUUCUUGACGUGCUUGGGAAGUGGCUGGUGAUGCAUGGCUGACGUUCCUGAAGGAAAGAGCAACAGAGCUGUGGGAAGGCCCACCCUGGACUGCUGCCAGAAACAAUAUAGCUGCAUUACCGCCACACUCUAUACAGAUUAAUUAGCUCUGUCGAGAAGUGUCGCACUGUGCUAACGUGUCUACCUUUGUUCUGCAGCUUAAACUAACUCAUUUGGACCUGACUUAGGUACCUUUACAUAAGUGUGGUUUCUUUAUCCUUGGGAUAAGUCGAGGUAAAAUAACUCAUUCUACAGUGCUAAUCAUUUCUGGCAAAUUAUGGUCAGCGUUAAACAGUGACACGUAGCAGAUGCUGUGUGAUGGUAUCAUCUUGCUCUUGCAGGUAUCCACCUGUUCAAAGGAAUACAGCUGACCUGUAAAGUCAUCUCCCAGGUCUGUCAAUGCACAUAUGGAGCAUUGCUUCGAGCUGUUCAUUUUUCAACUAGAACGUGUCCAACAGCAGUAUAGCUCUUUCGGUCUCAGGACAUAUUAGCAAAGAGCAGGCUAAUUGCUAAGCCCCUAAUUCAAAGAGGAUCCCUCUGGACUGGGGUUUCUCUCUUUGUUCCCUGAGGACUGGAACACUGCAGUCUUGUGUAUGUUCUUGUCAAUUUGCACAGUGUAUGGGAAGUUUUGGCUCAAUUUGUACUUUCUUUAAUUGUCAUAUGUUGGUCUUUCUAUCAUCAAGAGGUCUAUUACAGUAAUUUAAAGAUUUAGCUUCAGAACGAAACUGGUUUUGGACACAAGCACUGUGGAAACCAGGGGCGCAUGGGGAUUGUAUGGGUGUCUCUGGUGUUUGCAUGACAAUGCUUGUUAAGUAUUUCUCUGUUUUGCUGUACAUGUAAUAAGGCUGUACAUAUGAUCAUGAUACAAGGACCAAACUUGUGAUGCUGUGCCAGAAAUGGCUGGUGAUAUCUGUGUCGGGGAGAGAGAGCAUAUCACUUGGCAAGGCACAGUUAGAUGGUGAACUCUGAUGGUAAAAUGGUAGCUGCUAAUUGGAUAUAAUGAGGUGAAUGCCUAAGGGAAGAUACCCUUACCAAACGAGUAAGUCAAGAGGCCAAUCCUGUUGGCAGGGAAGUUCUGAGUAUAUUAGUACUCACGUAAAACAGCCGUAGGGAAAUGAAUCAUACAAUUGAAGGUUGUUUGAAAAUGUCCUGUGUGCUACUCUGAGUUUGUGAGCAGCACAGUGAGCUGAAUUCAUGUCAAGUUACUAAAGUAAGAGGAAAUUUUUGAAUAAUCAUCACUAUAUAAUGACCUAGAUGACAAUGGGUAGGUUAAAAAUAAGAAAUGCAUUUUUGCAUUUCAGGGAAAUGAGAGUAGCCUUCCUCUGGGAAUCAGGGAAAAAAAAUGAAUGUGAGGAAGAGACUUUCCAAUUUUAGACCUGAUUAUCCUCUCCUCUUGCAACCUUGCAGAGUCAUUAACACUUUUGCAAAGGGAUGUGAAGUGCUAUCAUUGAGAUUUGGUAAGGCUGCUAUUCAUGCCCUGAUUUCCAUGGUGUGAGUCUGCCCUGGUCAGCAUAAGAGACUCCAAUUCUGGCAUUUCUGGCUUUAGAUUUCUAUUUAUUGUCCUCGAUUUGAGGGAGAAGAUGUAACAGCCGGUGUCAAGAGUACCACAGCUUCACAGGUGACUGAGAAGUGUUGCAUGAUGGAGAACUGGAUUCAUGGGGUUUCCAUGACACUAUUUUCAGAGGUUUUUAAAAAUAUUUGCAAUGAAAACUGCUUAUGAUUUGGAAGGUAUAAACAAUUGUCCCCAGGAUGUUCUAUGUUCUUUCUGUCUUGGUGAUGACAAUGAAAUAUACUGUUUUCCCAGAUAAACUAUAUUAGAAAGACUCCAAGAGAAGUGUCUGACCAGCAGGAAUAUCUGGAGUUACAGGGAGUCAGGAUUCUUCUUCUCAGCUUCACAACUCUGUGUGCAGUCAGAGAAAGUGAAAGAGAUGGAGCCAGCAAAGGGGCUCUCAGGGCUCCCUGGUUGUUCCCAUUAUCCUGACAGCGCAAAUGCACUCCCCAGUCUGCAGGCUGAGGGGCUUAGAAUGAAAGAGGUGAACUUUCUGCUAGUAAUUAUAUAACUGCAAUUGCUGAGAAUGUUAUAUUAGCAACAUUUUGUUGCAGUAUUUUUUGUAUAAAAAUAUUUGCAGCUAGUGUGAUUGUCCAAAGCAACAGGUUGGAUUUUUCACUUCCUGGCAUUCUGUUCAGAUGAAUGGACAUCCCACUGAAAUGAGGCUGCAGUCUUAAGUAUACAGGUAAAUAUUCUCCUGGACAUUGGAAUAAUAGAGAAGUUUUCUUCAGUCAGUCACUGAAAGUGAUUUUCAUUUAUUUCACAAGCUGAGGCAUGAUGGGACAGCUAUGACUAUGUUUUUUGAAGUCUCCAUUUGAGCUGAUAUCAGAUGAUCUGGUGAAGUCAGGGAAAUAUUUACUAAAAAUAGCAACUGGAAGUGAAGAAGUAGAGCUUUUGAAGAUUUUUCUGCUUUUUGCCUUUGGCAUUGCUUCUACAGGGUUGAGAGGUACUCACCAUGCUGGGAAAAGAACCUUUGAUUGCUCAGUUGAAUAGCUCUCAACUAACUGCAAAACAUGACAAUAAUGAAAAAUGGAGGAUCAAACUGCUCUGAAGAGACUUCCAUGAGUGAACCUGAAGAAUCUGACCCAAUGCUUUUAAAAUGAUUCCCUAAUUGGAAACAUAUUUUUUAAGUCUUCAAGCUGUAAAUGCAUAUCUUUCCUUCUGAGCUAUGCCCUCAGCUUUCACAAUAACAUAAGUAAUUUCCCUCUUUUUUUUUUUUUUUUUUCCUUCACUUUGUUUCUAUUUUCUGGUUUUCAAAAGCUGUUCCCUACCCAGCCUUUGUUAUUUAUGGAGACUGAUCAUGUUUAUUCUUAUAAUUGUCUUAGUGACACCAGCACAUCUAACCUGUGAACCCUGACUAUUUGGGCUGGAUGGUAAUUUUACUGAAGUUGUCAUUAAGGUGUCAGAGUGGAUUGUAGGACGGCUAAUUUGUGCCAUGCUGCCGUAGCUGCUGAAGGCCAAGGGAGGGUCCUUGCUUUGCUGUUUGUUACUCUCAGGAGAAAGUUGCCACUAAGACCCAGGAAGGGUUGUUCCAUGGCUUCUCAUUAUUUCCUCAUACUUUGGUUUUGUGUUGGGGAAUGUUAAUUUUACCCAAAUGCAAUCCUUUAAGUUUCAUUUUAUGUGGUUGCACCAUACCUUUGCCCAGGCAUGUCAAAAGCUUUUGUCCAGGCAUACUUUAAACAGGGUAAUUCCAUCUAAUUACUUGCUUCCUACAAACCCAUCAAGUGCAGCUGUUGCUUAAUGACCCUCAGUUAAUACAUUUGAAGUGUCAUCCAGGGAAACUGUGUCCUUCAAGAUAUCAAUUUAAAAUUUACAGUUAUCUCAACAAGGUUCACAUCUGACACCUUCAGGAACCUGCCACAUGCCUGUAUGACCACGAAUCUGUGAUGUAAUUUAUUUGAUUAAAAUAACUGAGAAAGCCAUUGAGAGAAAAGGUUUAUCUUAGAUUGUAAGCAGGCUGAAUUGAAUCCAAACUAUUUGUCAGUCCAAUAGUUAUAUAAAUAAUUGUGAGAACCUCAGCCUUGCUAACAUCUAUGCACGUUUAGUCACUAACUUUAAAUGGGCCAGGUUUUCAUCCAAUGUCUGCCAAAGAGCUUUUAAACUACCAUUGCUUUUAGUCUGCUUGUCCGAUAAAGAUCCUGGGAAAGGCAUACUGUAAUAAUGUGUCUGCAGCUGAUUUCCUCCAGAAAAAACAAUUUUCCCUGAAUCCAUAUGGUUGUUAACAAAAUGCAUUGUUAGCGGAAUUACUGUAUACAGUGGCUGUGAUAACACAUGCUACAAGUUGUCAUUUGUAAUCAUCACUGUUUCAACUGACUGUCUGCUCCUGGCUCAUGUGUUGAAAGAGGGUAAGGAAAAAAAUCACAUAUUGUCUUGCUUUAACCUCAAAAGGGCAGAAUGGUGCCAUCUAGCAAUUACAGGAGUUUGACUUCCUUUCUACUGUAAGCAAUUUUUUGCAAGUUCAAAACCUACUAAUGUAUGAGUGAGAAAAAUCCAUACAGAAUUAUAAAACAGCAAAAUAAUUGAAAACCAAUCUCUCUUCAAAGAAUGGGAAGAAGUUACAUUUGUCUACAAAUACAUAUGUUCCAAAAUUAGUACUACGUGUUGAAUUUUUAAUAUAUAAUAAGAGGUUUGUUCUGAAUUGAAAUUUUGAUGUAUUGACUUAAGAAAAAUAAAGUUAUCAGGGAAAUGAUGGUUAUUCACUGCUACCCCACAUUCUCCUUUCACAUAUCCCUUCCUUUUCUUUGAGCAGCUCCUCUCUUGUGCUGCUUCAUUGCAGCCCAUCAGCAGACAUUCUCUUUAGAAAGAACUAGACACCAUCUACUUGUCACCAUUCUGAGGAGAAAUACUGCAGUCGUAUCUCUUUCUUUCCCUGGUUACAGACUGGCAGAGGUGAGGGACACCUGCAGGACACAGGAUGGGGGGUCUGUGAUGUUCGGUACCUACCCAUACAGAAGAUAAGUCAGUCCUUAAACCACACAUAUAAAAUAUGCUGUUUUCCCUAAGUAAAAUAAGAAGAGAUUAGGUAUUAUAUAAUAAAUAUACAUAAAUAAUUAUUUCUUUUCAGUGCUGCUUAAAAGUUUGUAGAUAAUCCCAAAUCCAAUUAAUAUCUCAGCCCUUUUAUAUGCUGCAGUGUAAACAGUUUUAUCAAAAUAAAUGCAUUUAUGCUGCAAGACCAUGUUUCCAGAGAUAUAUGACUUUGCUAAGUUUAAAGUGUUUGGGCACACAUUUGUCAUGCUGAAUGUAUGACUCAGAAAAUUAUUUUUUAAUGGUUUGGCCAUUCUGAGAAUAAAGUUAAGGAAAAAUA
This is a long non-coding RNA of Columba livia (rock pigeon), 5470 nucleotides long. RefSeq lists it as uncharacterized. Lineage: Eukaryota; Metazoa; Chordata; Aves; Columbiformes; Columbidae. The transcript is spliced from 2 exons. The record is from RefSeq and is a predicted model, not a curated record.